This is a long non-coding RNA of Piliocolobus tephrosceles (Ugandan red Colobus), 1159 nucleotides long. RefSeq lists it as uncharacterized. The transcript has 2 exons. The record is from RefSeq and is a predicted model, not a curated record. Lineage: Eukaryota; Metazoa; Chordata; Mammalia; Primates; Cercopithecidae.
GCCUCCGCCUCCUGGGUUCAAGCGAUUCUUGUGCCUCAGUCUCCCAAGUAGCUAGGAUUAAAGACCCUGCAUGUGAUGGAUUGGCUGACACCAUCCAGUUCGGUAAACUGGUUCAUCUGAUCUUGUGCCCUGCACCCAGGAACUGACUCAGCGCAAGAAGACAGCUUUGACUCCUUCUGAUUUCAUCCCUAACCAAUCAGCACUCCUAGCUCACUGGCUUCCCCCAACCCACCAAGUUGUCCUUAAAAACUCUGCUCUCCAAAUGCUGGGGGAGACUGAUUUGAGUAAUAAUAAAACUCUGGUCUCCCACACAGUUGGCUUUUCGUGAAUUACUCUUUCUCUAUUCCAAUUCCCUUAUUUUGGUGAAUUGGCUCUGUCUAGGCAGUGGGCAAGGUAAACCCCUUAGGCAGUCACAUGGUUAUUGACCCUUCUUUUUCCUUCCUUUCUUCCUCUCUCUCUCCCUCAUUUCCUCUCUCCUCUUCUCCCUCCUUCCCUCUCUUUAUUUCUUUCCUCCUAUUCAUAAAAAAACUAUUGAAACUGCCUUUGCAAAAAUUACAACUAAGAAAAUUAUGUCAGUGAAAGAAAUCUGACCUAACUGACUCGACCUUGCUUCUAAUUUCCAAGCUGUUACACCAUUCCUGGGUAUAGGCUGAACUAAUUUUGGGAGGAACUUAGUUUAUAGUAUAACUUUGAAACAAAGACGAUAACAGCGCUUUGCCAAAACAAACCACCUUCCUACCUGAAUACUAGACUGCCUUUGCAGGACCACCACAUUAGCUACCAGAUUAUAAAUUACGGUUUAGGAGUCAUGCAGCUGGAGGCUGCAGAAUUCUGAACCUUUCCAAAUUGCUCCUGGGGAUAAUGUCACUAUAAUAAAACCUAAGAUCAGUGCUGGAGGUAUUUUGUAGACCCUGUACUCCAUGGAUCAGCUGGCACCACCCAGAUCCAUAAACUGGCUCAUCUGAUCUUGUGGCCUCCAUCCAGGCAAGAUGAUUCAGCGCAAGAGGACAGCUUAGACUUUUCAUGAUUUCAUCUCUGAACUGAUCUAUCAGCACUCCCCACUUUCCAACCCCCUACCCAUCAAAUUAUCCUUAAAAUCUCUGAUCCCUGAACUCUGGAGAGGCUGAUUUGAAUAAUAAUAAAACUUUAGUCUCCCGUA